RNAcentral lists this unclassified non-coding RNA (362 nucleotides) under fungal sp. RNAcentral describes it as "partial internal transcribed spacer region". The stretch from base 1 to 46 matches the Rfam family "Eukaryotic small subunit ribosomal RNA", at positions 1786 to 1831 of the family's 1831-position model. The record is from RNAcentral. Lineage: Eukaryota; Fungi.
AAGUCGUAACAAGGUAUCCGUAGGUGAACCUGCGGAUGGAUCAUUAAAACACGUGUUUACACACGUUACCAACCAACCCGUGCGAGGGGCCUUGCUGACACAAAAAGUUCCGACCUCGUGUCGAAACUUCAUCGUGUACAGCUUGCUCGAAAGGGCAAGUUCGUCAGCUUGUGCUCCGUUCUUUUAUUCUUUGCACACGAUGUUUUUUUUUACAAACCUUAAAACCCUUCAUUCUUUUUACUGAAUGACUAAACCUAUUUCUUUCGAAAAGGGCUGCUCUAUUAGAUCUUCGGAUCGAACGGCUGCCUCUGAUUAGAUAUGAAAACCCUGUACAACUCUUAGCAACGGAUAUCUUGGUUCUC